Clupea harengus (Atlantic herring) is the source of this 5034-nucleotide long non-coding RNA. The record is from Ensembl. NCBI's taxonomy places the organism in Eukaryota, Metazoa, Chordata, Actinopteri, Clupeiformes, Clupeidae.
UUUCCAGAUUAAGCAUUUAACCCAGUAAUCAACUGAAGAUACGUUUUUUGAUGCUCUUCCACCUGGCAUCAAAGACAUCAAAAUCAGCAUGUUUUUUUUUUGUUGGCCAGUGGCUCCACUGAUAGAAUCCAGUUUUCUACGCCAGGACAAACCGGUCCCUCUGAUUUGCAUAAACGUUAAAUUAUGCAAACGAUGCCAGGAUUGAGAGGUCUGCAGGUACUCUGUUUGAUUGCACUGGGAUAGGCAGAGGUAAAAUGGAGAUACAAAAAACAGGAAAAGAAAAGAAAAAAAAAAGAUCUCUUCAUCAAGCAUACGCUUGCAGUGACCAGAAUCUAAAUGUGACUUGGUGCAGGUAGAAUAACACAAUGGCAAGGACCACUGACGUGUGUGUGUGUGUGUGUGUGUGUGUGUGUGUGUGUGUGUGUGUGUGUGUGUGUGUGUGUGUGUGUACCUGUCUGUGCAAGGACCACUGGCGUGUACUUCUACAUAUUGACCAAAAGAACAGGCAUGGAUAAGAAUACAUGUGUAAUGCAUUAUGCAGUUUUUAUAAAGACAUGUUGGCUGAGUACAACCAUAUGAAAAAAAUCACAACACAAAACUCAAAAAGGUACUUAGGGCCUGGUGUAUUACUGAAGAUUCAAUUAACUAUAACAAUACAAAUGUGUGAGUGUGUGUAUGUGUGUGGGUGUGUGUGUGUAUCUGUGUGUGUGUGUGUGUGUGUGUGUGUGUGUGUGUGUGUGUGUGUGUGUGUGGGUGUGUAUGUGUGUGUAACAUGGACUAACUAGUCGAUCCAAUCAACGAGUGUAUGUCCUGUCGGGCGUAGAGGGGGUGAGUGAGAGGGUGGAUGUGCAGCUGGUGUCUAUGUGUGUGUGUGUAUGCUGGAGAGUGUGUGUGUGCUGCGUAUGCUUGAGAGUGUGUGUGUGAGAGCAGGGAGGUGAGGAGAGAAGCUGCAUGCAGAGAAGGGUAGAGGGGCGCGGGAUGGAGGGAUGAUGCAGGGAGGAGGAAAAGAGGGGGGUGAUGAGAGGUCAACACCGCCGACGGAUGAGCGGAAAGUGGCGACGGACGGAGGGGGAGAGAGAAGGAGCGGGGGGAGAGAGGGAGAGAGGGAUGAGGGCAGAGAGGAGAGGAGGAGUGGAGGGGAGGGAGAGAGGGAUGAAGAGGAGAAGAGGAGUGGAGGGGGGAGAGAGGGAGAGAGGGAUGAGUGCAGAGAGGAGAAGAGGAGUGGUGGAGGGGGAGGAGGAGAGAGGGAUGAUGGAGGGGUGGAGAUGGAGAGAUGGGGCAAAUGGAAGGAAAAGGGGCGGAAGGAGUGUUGAGGGGCAAAGAGAUGGCAGGGGCCGAGGGCAUGUCCAUGGGCACCUCGGCGGGCACCUGCUGCAGCUGACUCUGCAUGUGCUGCCUGGCCUGCUGCUGUAGGCGCCUGUACUUGUCAAUCUCCUCCGCGCUAAACAUGAUUGGCUGCUCACUCAGAGGAGGGGCGGGGUCUCUGUGACCCCUGCCCUCCUCCUCCCGGUCUGAUUGGGCGGAUCGAGGCGUGAUGUCGUCGUGUUUAGGGGAUGGAGAUCUUUCCUGUUGUAGAGAGGUAAUCGUGGUGAUUGAAGUACGUUCAGCUGUGGCUCUAUCCGAUGUGGAGGGGGACGUGGGUCGUACACAAGCCUGCAGAGAGGUCACGUCAGUGGGGGAAUUGAUCAUGGUCUCUCCCCCGUUCUCCAGGGGGCUUAUUCUUUUCCUUUCCCUGCCGAUGAGCUUGCUGCUGUCUGCACCGGCGUGCAGCGGAUCUUUCCGGAAGCCUCUCUUGACUUUGUGGCUGGCUGCUUUGCCGAGCGCCCUCCUCACCGCGGGCUGCUUCCCUAUCAGCGGCAACAGCGGCGUGUGCUUGACUGGAGCGCGGCAGCGUGCGUGGGCGUUGUGCUUGUUGUGUGACAGCGCGCCGUUUGUUCUCGUUACUUCCAGGGUUUUGUCCUCCGGGGGCACCCCUCCCGCUGGGUCGGCUGCUGCGCGUGCGAGCGCUUGUGUGGGCAGAUCCUCUCUCGCUCGCCGCCCCCCUGCGCCCGAGUCUCUUUUGCUACCGCCGCCGCUGCCACAGCUCCAUCCCGCCAAAUGUCUCCUCACAAAGUGGGCACGUUUGUCUGGCUGACAACCCCCCUCUGUGUCUCUCUUCGUGGGCAUGAGCGAUGGUGGCGUGGUUGCCGCGUGUUUAUCUCCGUGGGCGGCUGGACCUGAUCGCCGUGGCGCCGCCCGCUGGUUGGCAGCGCCCUGCGUGGUGGUUCUGCCCGAGCACCGGCCAACAUGUCCAGCAGCAGCAGCGCCCCAGUCGGAGCUGAGCUCCGAGAUGCUGGUGUUGGUGGAGGAGCCGGCGCUCCGCGUGGAACCGGGGCUGUGCCGCGCGUCCUCCUCCUCCUCCCGAUCCAGGCUCACCUCUCUGGGGCUGUAGGCCCACGGUCCUCCCCUUAGUCUGGGACUCCUGGGCCUCAUGUAGUCCCUCUCUCUGCUUUCCCUGUGCCUGUGCCACCUCCUCCCUGGGCUGAGUGUCCUGCUCUCACACCUCCUCCCGGGACUAAGUGUCCUGUUCUCACACCUCCUCCCGGGGACUAAGUGUCCUGUUCUCACACCUCCUCCCGGGACUAAGUGUCCCCUGUUCUCACACCUCCUCCCGGGGGGGCUGAGUGUCCUGCUCUCACACCUCCUCCCGGGACUAAGUGUCCUGUUCUCACACCUCCUCUCGGGACUAAGUGUCCUGCUCUCCCACCUCCUCCUGCACUCCUCCUCCUCCUCCUCCUCCCAUCCUCCACUCUCUCUGUGCCCAUUACACCGGCCCACAAUGCAUCUGCUCGUUCCCCUGUCACGUAAUGACUGAUACGUCCUCCUGUGGCCACAACUGUCCCUGUGAUGGCCGGCUGUGCCGUAGGCUACCCUGAAGUGCUGCAGGCCCGUGAUGUCUGUUGUCACUAAUCUGUGGGGUCCUUCACUGUUGAGGCUGUCUCUACAGUGCCUGUCUGUUGUCACUAAUCUGUGGGGUCCUUCACUGUUGAGGCUGUCUCUACAGUGCCUGUCUGUUGUCACUAAUCGGUGGGGUCCUUCACUGUUGAGGCUGUCCCUACAGUGCCUGAAGCCUGGGUUGUAGCUCGGUACACAGAUGUAAGAACGAGGCUGACUGUUGCCUCGACUCCAGGAAGGCCGAAAGAUGACCCGGGCGGGUGAGGGGUCAUCCCAUUGGGGGUCAUCCCAUGCAGGGUCGUCACAUGCGGGGUCAUCCCACGCCUCGCAGCGCAUAUCUGUCUCUCGGUCUUCAUAACUGUGCCUGUCUCUGGGCGUUACCUUGUAGCUGUCAUCUUGUUUAUAGACGUCAAAGUCGUAACUCCAGCUGUGGUCGUCAGCCGUCGUCGCCGAGCAGCCGGAGGCGGGUUCAGGGGAGAAGGGCGUCCAUCGCUCGAGGCGCAGAGCCUUCGCCACCCUUCUCUCCGCGCGGCGUCUCGUUUCGCCCCGCUUGCUCGGCGGAGCGGAGAACGACUUCACCACCACGCUCCUCAGGCUAGGCUCCGGCGUCGCCAUGGCAACCCGGCUGGAACUCACCCCCUCCGCUGCGGCUCUCUUCCUCUUCCUCCUCGCGUGCGGUCCUCCUCGCUGUCCUUUGUCACACGUUGUGUUCGUGUCUGCCGCCGCCGCCGCCCCCUUCGUCUUCCUCCCGCUGUGCUUGCGGCGGCGCUUGGGCCUGGCCGGAGGCGAUGGCCGCUCGGGUUCCGCCGUCACAAACACGGCCUCCGUUUCUCGGCAUCCCAAUCCCAUGUCUUCCUCCUCGUCUUCCUCCUCCGCUGUGCUUCUCCGCUUGAGAUGAGCUCGUGCCAAUGUGCUGGGGCUCUGUGAGAGCAGCAUGUGUGUGUUUGCAUGUGGGGCCCUUUUGAGGUGUGUAAGCGUGUGUGUGUGUGUGACGGGGCGCUCUGUGCAGUCUACACCAGGCCUCCUUUUACCAUGUGUGUGCUUGCAUGGUGCCGCUGAGUGUGUGUGUGUGUCUUCCCCUGCCUCAGGUGUUCUGGAGUGUGUGUGUGUGUCUUCCCCUGCUUCAGGUGUUCCUGAGUGUGUGUGUGUCUCUGAUGCUGACGUGAUAUGGGAGGACGUCUCGUCGUGUGCGUUGGGUGUCACACAGCACACCGUGUCUUGUGUUGGUGUCAGAUUAGGGAUCGUGUCUUCACUCUCGGCGGGGGUACUGUGGCGUGUUUGUGCGUCCUCCGUGUGUGUGUAGAGGCGGCGUGUGUGUGUGUCUUCGCUCGCGACGGGGGUACUGUGGCGUGUUUGUGCGUCCUCCGUGUGUGUGUAGAGGCGGCGUGUGUGUGUGUCUUCACUCUCGGCGGGGGUACUGUGGCGUGUGUGUGCGUCCUCCCGGUGUGUGUAGAGGCGGAGUGUGUGCGUCUGAGCGUGGCAGGGGUUGCAGCUGUAGGGCAGAUGGGGCUCCGUGUGUGUGUAGCCCAGCAGCUCCAAGGGCCACCUGAGAGACGGCCCUCCGUCUUUCGCCAGGACACUGAUGAAUGAGCCUUCCUCCUCCUCCUCCUCCUCUUCCUCCUCCUCCUCGGAGCUGUGGCAGCCUGAUUUACACAGGUGCCCUUGUCCCCCCGCCUCUGCUGAGUCCCAAACAGGAUCCGCCUCAACAUCCUGUCCUUGCAGCUCGGGGGAAGGAGCUGUGUGCAUGUGGGGGUGAAUGUGGGUCGAGUGCAUCUGAGGUCCUGCGUGGGGUUUCUCUGGGUCGCACACACACACACACACGCACACGCAGGGAGGGUGACAGUUGCUUGGGUUAGAGUCAGCAUGUGCACACACACACACACACUCCGGAGCGUGAGAGGAGCCGUCUCUCGACGAGGUGUCUUUCUCUCCCGUUUCAUCACUCCGUCCCUCCCUCCUCUUCUCCCUCUCUUUCGUGUCCUCCAGCCGUGCCCUGGCCUCGUUUAAUUCCAGAUUUUCUGGGGGCCUUAGGGGGCUGCCGAGGUCGCCGUCGUGCCCGUGGGAGGGUGAAGGAGAGUGGGACGGGAGGGCGUGGAGGCU